CCCGUGACUCGGCGAGAAGUCCAUUGAACCUUAUCAUUUAGAGGAAGGAGAAGUCGUAACAAGGUUUCCGUAGGUGAACCUGCGGAAGGAUCAUUG
RNAcentral lists this ribosomal RNA (96 nucleotides) under Cyrtochilum edwardii. RNAcentral describes it as "partial 18S ribosomal RNA". It matches the Rfam family "Eukaryotic small subunit ribosomal RNA", at positions 1736 to 1831 of the family's 1831-position model. RNAcentral also lists the same sequence under 10 other names. The record is from RNAcentral. Lineage: Eukaryota; Viridiplantae; Streptophyta; Magnoliopsida; Asparagales; Orchidaceae.